GCUGCAGCCCUUGUGCAACAGCAUCUGAAAAAGUCCAUACACUAUAUAACACCACAGAGAAAAGUGCGUGUGCUGAAUAGGUAUUUUCUACUGCAAAUUUAUUCUCACAUUGCUUUAUUGACAUAGGACAGGAAAUUUAACAAUUCAUCAAAGGUGGUCAUUUACACAAACUUGAACAAAUCCCUGACAAAAAUAUGUGAAUUCUACAAUAGUAAAUAAAACAAGUUCACCUACAUGAACG
Molecule: unclassified non-coding RNA, 241 nt
Filed under: Hevea brasiliensis (rubber tree)
Lineage: Eukaryota; Viridiplantae; Streptophyta; Magnoliopsida; Malpighiales; Euphorbiaceae
Source: RNAcentral